This 1079-nucleotide ribosomal RNA is filed under the name uncultured Rhizaria. Its description in RNAcentral is "SSU rRNA". It matches the Rfam family "Eukaryotic small subunit ribosomal RNA", at positions 577 to 1674 of the family's 1831-position model. The record is from RNAcentral.
CGGUAAUUCCAGCUCCAAUAGCGUAUACUAAAGUUGUUGCGGUUAAAAAGCUCGUAGUUGGAUUUCUGCGGGGACGGAGCGGCCGGACGCAACUUGCGUCUCGAGCUAGCGCUUUCCCCGCAUCCUGCCGCGAACCGUGCUACCAUUAGUUUGGUGGCGCUGGGGAUCGGCUCGAUUACUUUGAGAAAAAUAGAGUGUUCAAAGCAGGCCACACGCCUUGAAUAAGUUAGCAUGGAAUAAUGACUAAGGACUUUGGUUCUUUUCGUUGGUGUUCGGGACUGAAGUAAUGAUUGAUAGGGACAGUUGGGGCGGUCCGUAUUCCAAAGCGAGAGGUGAAAUUCUUAGGCCUUCGGAAGACGAACAGCUGCGAAAGCGUUCCGCAAGGAUGUUCCCUUUGAUCAAGAACGAAAGUUGGGGGAUCGAAGACGAUCAGAUACCGUCGUAGUCUCAACUAUAAACUAUACCAGCUAGGGAUCGGCCAACGUUUAAUUAUUCGACUUGGUCGGCACCUUAUGAGAAAUCAAAGCAUCUGGGUUCCGGGGGGAGUAUGGUCGCAAGGCUGAAACUUAAAGGAAUUGACGGAAGGGCACCACCAGGCGUGGAGCCUGUGGCUUAAUUUGACUCAACACGGGAAAACUUACCAGGUCCAGACAUAGGAAGGAUUGACAGAUUGAUAGCUCUUUCUUGAUUCUGUGGGUGGUGGUGCAUGGCCGUUUUUAGUCGGUGAAGUGAUUUGUCUGCUUAAUUGCGUUAACGGACGAGACCCCAGCCUGCUAAAUAGCGCGGCCGAGCUUUGCUCGGUACGAGCUUCUUAGAGGGACCAUGAUGCGCGAUAGCACAAGGAAGUUUGGGGCAACAACAGGUCUGUGAUGCCCUUAGAUGUUCUGGGCCGCACACGGGCUACACUGGCGCCUGCAACGAGCAUAUCAGCUGGCCCGAGGGGGUCUUGGCUAAUCUUUGGAACCGGCGCCGUGCUUGGGAUUGACCAUUGCAAUUGUUGGUCAUGCAACGAGGAAUGCCUUGUAAACGCGAGUCAUCAGCUCGCAUUGAAUACGUCCCUGCUCUUUAAGACACCGCCC